Molecule: ribosomal RNA, 445 nt
Filed under: uncultured Pseudomonas sp.
Lineage: Bacteria; Pseudomonadati; Pseudomonadota; Gammaproteobacteria; Pseudomonadales; Pseudomonadaceae
Description: bacterial SSU rRNA
Rfam family: Bacterial small subunit ribosomal RNA
Source: RNAcentral
GCAUGCGGUUUAAUUCGAAGCAACGCGAAGAACCUUACCAGGCCUUGACAUGCAGAGAACUUUCCAGAGAUGGAUUGGUGCCUUCGGGAACUCUGACACAGGUGCUGCAUGCUGUCGUCAGCUCGUGUCGUGAGAUGUUGGGUUAAGUCCCGUAACGAGCGCAACCCUUGUCCUUAGUUACCAGCACGUUAUGGUGGGCACUCUAAGGAGACUGCCGGUGACAAACCGGAGGAAGGUGGGGAUGACGUCAAGUCAUCAUGGCCCUUACGGCCUGGGCUACACACGUGCUACAAUGGUCGGUACAAAGGGUUGCCAAGCCGCGAGGUGGAGCUAAUCCCAUAAAACCGAUCGUAGUCCGGAUCGCAGUCUGCAACUCGACUGCGUGAAGUCGGAAUCGCUAGUAAUCGUGAAUCAGAAUGUCACGGUGAAUACGUUCCCGGGCCUU